RNAcentral lists this ribosomal RNA (492 nucleotides) under uncultured bacterium. Its description in RNAcentral is "partial 16S ribosomal RNA". It matches the Rfam family "Bacterial small subunit ribosomal RNA", at positions 29 to 507 of the family's 1533-position model. The record is from RNAcentral.
AGUGAACGCUGGCGGUAGGCCUAACACAUGCCAGUCGAACGGCAGCACAGUAAGAGCUUGCUCUUACGGGUGGCGAGUGGCGGACGGGUGAGGAAUACAUCGGAAUCUACUUUUUCGUGGGGGAUAACGUAGGGAAACUUACGCUAAUACCGCAUACGACCUACGGGUGAAAGCAGGGGAUCUUCGGACCUUGCGCGAUUGAAUGAGCCGAUGUCGGAUUAGCUAGUUGGCGGGGUAAAGGCCCACCAAGGCGACGAUCCGUAGCUGGUCUGAGAGGAUGAUCAGCCACACUGGAACUGAGACACGGUCCAGACUCCUACGGGAGGCAGCAGUGGGGAAUAUUGGACAAUGGGCGCAAGCCCGAUCCAGCCAUACCGCGUGGGUGAAGAAGGCCUUCGGGUUGUAAAGCCCUUUUGUUGGGAAAGAAAAGCAGCAGGUUAAUACCCCGCUGUUCUGACGGUACCCAAAGAAUAAGCACCGGCUAACUUCGUG